UCUGGGUCUAAUCAGAACUGCUAUAUCUAUGGUUCUGGGUCUAAUCAGAGCUGCUAUAUCUAUGGUUCUGGGUCUAAUCAGAGCUGCUAUAUCUAUGGUUCUGGGUCUAAUCAGAGCUGCUAUAUCUAUGGUUCUGGGUCUAAUCAGAGCUGCUAUAUCUAUGGUUCUGGGUAUAAUCAGAGCUGUAUCUAUGGUUCUGGGUCUAAUCAGAGCUAUAUAUAUGGUUCUGGGUAUAAUCAGAACUGCUAUAUCUAUGGUUCUGGGUCUAAUCAGAGCUGCUAGAUCUAUGGUUCUGGGUCUAAUCAGAGCUGCUAUAUCUAUGGUUCUGGGUCUAAUCAGAGCUGCUAUAUCUAUGGUUCUGGGUCUAAUCAGAGCUAUAUCUAUGGUUCUGGGUCGAAUCAGAAGUAGAUCUAUGGUUCUGGGUCUAAUCAGAGCUGCUGUAUCUAU
Oncorhynchus keta (chum salmon) is the source of this 447-nucleotide long non-coding RNA. RefSeq lists it as uncharacterized. The record is from RefSeq and is a predicted model, not a curated record. Lineage: Eukaryota; Metazoa; Chordata; Actinopteri; Salmoniformes; Salmonidae. The transcript is spliced from 3 exons.